Long non-coding RNA from Amblyraja radiata (thorny skate), 929 nucleotides. RefSeq lists it as uncharacterized. The record is from RefSeq and is a predicted model, not a curated record. The transcript is spliced from 3 exons. NCBI's taxonomy places the organism in Eukaryota, Metazoa, Chordata, Chondrichthyes, Rajiformes, Rajidae.
GUAGGGAGUGGAUGAUAACAUGGAACUAGUGUGAACGAGUGAUCGAUGGUCAUCAUGUACUCGGUGGGCUGUAGGGCCUGUUACCAAUCAAUUGUGAUUCACCACUUUAGGAAAAAACUAGGGUGUCUUCAAGUUAGAGCUGCUACCUGACAGUCCCAGUGAUCCAGGUUCAAUCCUAACCUAGGAUUUGGAAUUUACACAUUCUCCCUAUGAUCAUGAGGUUUUCCCCACUUGCUUCAGUUUUCUUCCACAUCCCAAAGACGUGUGGGUUGGCAGGUUAAUAUUGCCCUUGCUGUAUAUGUGUGGUAGAAUCUGGGGGAAUUGAUAAUAAUGUCGGAAGAAAUUCAAAAAUGCAUUAAUGUAAGAUUGGUGUGGAAUGGAUGGUUGAUGGUCAGCACAGACUCGAUGGGCCAAAAGGUCACCUGUGCUGCACCCCAAUGAUAAAAUGAUAAACAUUCUUUAGAUACAUUAACAACUGCUGCUCCUCUUGAAAGAAUGAAAAUGAAUGACUUGGCAACCAUCUGAGUCACACUCAUUCUCCUUUAGGAAAUCAGUACUGAUUUUUAUGAAAUGAUGCUGAUAGCCCAGCUAAAUCUUCUUACUCUGACUAACCUUCUUAAAUCCCCAUCUUAUAUUUGAUGCACACCACCUUUCUCCCUGAUAAAUUGGUGAGUGAGAAAUAUUUAAUCACAUUUUGUGGUUAGCUAAAUAGGAAAUGUACAAGUUACUUCAGUCAAGAUAAUCUAUUCAUGGUUUAACAUUAAGAACUUACCCAUAAAGGAAUAAUACCUUUGUGUUAAAAAUAAACAGAAUUAUAAAUAAAGGGAUUCUCCAACACAGUGUCUGUAAAAUUGUUUAUUUGGGGUUUUAAAAGUAAUUGAACAGAAUUCCUGAACCUAGACUGGACUAUCUAACUUUAUUGCCUGUGU